UACGUAGGGGGCAAGCGCUGUCCGGAAUCAUUGGGCGUAAAGCGCGCGUAGGCGGCCCUGUAAGUCCGUUGUGAAAGUCCAGGGCUCAACCCUGGGAUGCCGGUCGAUACUGCCGGACUAGAGUUCGGAGAGGCGAGUGGAAUUCCCGGUGUAGCGGUGAAAUGUGCAGAUAUCGGGAGGAACACCUAUGGCGAAGGCAGCUCGCUGGGACGUUACUGACGCUGAGACGCGAAGCGUGGGUAGCAACAGG
Molecule: ribosomal RNA, 250 nt
Filed under: uncultured bacterium
Lineage: Bacteria
Description: partial 16S ribosomal RNA
Rfam family: Bacterial small subunit ribosomal RNA
Source: RNAcentral